Molecule: ribosomal RNA, 459 nt
Filed under: uncultured bacterium
Lineage: Bacteria
Description: partial 16S ribosomal RNA
Rfam family: Bacterial small subunit ribosomal RNA
Source: RNAcentral
CCUACGGGUGGCAGCAGUGAGGAAUAUUGGUCAAUGGCCGGAAGGCUGAACCAGCCAUGCCGCGUGAAGGUCAGUGCCCUAUGGGCGUUAAACUUCUUUUGUGCGGGAGCAAUAAUGGUCACGUGUGCCUUUUUGCAUGUACUUUAUGAAUAAGGAUCGGCUAACUCCGUGCCAGCAGCCGCGGUAAUACGGAGGAUCCGAGCGUUAUCCGGAUUUAUUGGGUUUAAAGGGAGCGUAGAUGGGUUGUUAAGUCAGUUGUGAAAGUUUGCGGCUCAACCGUAAAAUUGCAAUUGAUACUGGCAGUCUUGAGUACAGUUGAGGUAAGCGGAAUUCGUGGUGUAGCGGUGAAAUGCUUAGAUAUCACGAAGAACCCCGAUUGCGAAGGCAGCUUACUAAACUGUGACUGACAUUGAUGCUCGAAAGUGUGGGUAUCAAACAGGAUUAGAUACCCUUGUAGUC